Molecule: ribosomal RNA, 405 nt
Filed under: uncultured bacterium
Lineage: Bacteria
Description: partial 16S ribosomal RNA
Rfam family: Bacterial small subunit ribosomal RNA
Source: RNAcentral
AUUGAACGCUGGCGGCAGGCCUAACACAUGCAAGUCGAACGAGUGGCGGACGGGUGAGUAAUGUCUGGGAAACUGCCUGAUGGCGGGGGAUAACUACUGGAAACGGUAGCUAAUACCGCAUACCAUCAGAUGUGCCCAGCUGGGAUUAGCUAGUUGGUGGGGUAACGGCUCACCAAGGGGACGAUCCCUAGCUGGUCUGAGAGGAUGACCAGCCACACUGGAACUGAGACAGGGGCCAGACUCCGACGGGAGGGAGCGGGGGGGAAUAUUGCACAAUGGGCGAAAGCCGGAUGCAGCAAUGCCGGGUGUAUGAAGAGGGCCUUCGGGUUGUAAAGUUCUUGCAGCGGGGAGGCGUUACCCGCAGAAGAAGCACCGCUAACUCCGUGCCAGCCGCCGCGGUAAUAC